RNAcentral lists this ribosomal RNA (572 nucleotides) under Pseudomonas sp. RPAN5. RNAcentral's name for it is "bacterial SSU rRNA". It matches the Rfam family "Bacterial small subunit ribosomal RNA", at positions 63 to 631 of the family's 1533-position model. The record is from RNAcentral. Lineage: Bacteria; Pseudomonadati; Pseudomonadota; Gammaproteobacteria; Pseudomonadales; Pseudomonadaceae.
CGAGCGGUAGAGAGAAGCUUGCUUCUCUUGAGAGCGGCGGACGGGUGAGUAAUGCCUAGGAAUCUGCCUGGUAGUGGGGGAUAACGUCCGGAAACGGACGCUAAUACCGCAUACGUCCUACGGGAGAAAGCAGGGGACCUUCGGGCCUUGCGCUAUCAGAUGAGCCUAGGUCGGAUUAGCUAGUUGGUGAGGUAAUGGCUCACCAAGGCGACGAUCCGUAACUGGUCUGAGAGGAUGAUCAGUCACACUGGAACUGAGACACGGUCCAGACUCNNACGGGAGGCAGCAGUGGGGAAUAUUGGACAAUGGGCGAAAGCCUGAUCCAGCCAUGCCGCGNGUGUGAAGAAGGUCUUCGGAUUGUAAAGCACUUUAAGUUGGGAGGAAGGGUACUUACCUAAUACGUGAGUAUUUUGACGUUACCGACAGAAUAAGCACCGGCUAACUCUGUGCCAGCAGCCGCGGUAAUACAGAGGGUGCAAGCGUUAAUCGGAAUUACUGGGCGUAAAGCGCGCGUAGUGGUUCGUUAAGUUGGAUGUGAAAUCCCCGGGCUCAACCUGGGAACUGCAUCCAAA